RNAcentral lists this ribosomal RNA (120 nucleotides) under uncultured bacterium. Its description in RNAcentral is "partial 16S ribosomal RNA". It matches the Rfam family "Bacterial small subunit ribosomal RNA", at positions 796 to 913 of the family's 1533-position model. The record is from RNAcentral.
CACGCCGUAAACGUUGGGCACUAGGUGUGGGACCUUUCCAACGGGUUCCGUGCCGCAGCUAACGCAUUAAGUGCCCCGCCUGGGGAGUACGGCCGCAAGGCUAAAACUCAAAGGAAUUGA